UACGUAGGGUGCAAGCGUUGUCCGGAAUUAUUGGGCGUAAAGAGCUCGUAGGCGGUUUGUCGCGUCUGCUGUGAAAACUCGGGGCUUAACCCCGGGCCUGCAGUGGGUACGGGCAGACUAGAGUGCGGUAGGGGAGACUGGAAUUCCUGGUGUAGCGGUGAAAUUCGUAGAUAUCAGGAGGAACACCGGUGGCGAAGGCGGCUUUCUGGACACUUACUGACGCUGAGACGCGAAAGCGUGGGGAGCAAACAGG
Molecule: ribosomal RNA, 253 nt
Filed under: uncultured bacterium
Lineage: Bacteria
Description: partial 16S ribosomal RNA
Rfam family: Bacterial small subunit ribosomal RNA
Source: RNAcentral